This is a long non-coding RNA of Eriocheir sinensis (Chinese mitten crab), 339 nucleotides long. RefSeq lists it as uncharacterized. Lineage: Eukaryota; Metazoa; Arthropoda; Malacostraca; Decapoda; Varunidae. The record is from RefSeq and is a predicted model, not a curated record. The transcript is spliced from 2 exons.
AUAUGCAAGAUAUGCAAGAUACAUGCAAAACUGGAGUCAGAGGUUUGAUCUUCCACCAAGCACCACCGCCCACUUCAAGAUAUAUCUUCGAUCAGCUCUAUAACAGACUACUGGACUGUGGAUGUGUCAGACUAUAUAAUACUAUGGCAAUGUGGGCUCGAGCAGUGUGGCUGGAGGACAAUGAAGAGCAGGAGGGUGUUAUACCACAGAAGUGGAUACAGAAUCAAAUGGUCCAUUGGCCACCUGGUGUUAAUGCUGCCCCCGCUAUGGCUGAAAUGAGAGAUCCAACACCAUCUUGGAGAAAGUUCACACUUGUGAAAGUAAAAAUUGCUUCUGGUG